Molecule: ribosomal RNA, 2456 nt
Filed under: Escherichia coli
Lineage: Bacteria; Pseudomonadati; Pseudomonadota; Gammaproteobacteria; Enterobacterales; Enterobacteriaceae
Description: partial 23S ribosomal RNA
Rfam family: Bacterial large subunit ribosomal RNA
Source: RNAcentral
GCGAUACAGGGUGACAGCCCCGUACACAAAAAUGCACAUACUGUGAGCUCGAUGAGUAGGGCGGGACACGUGGUAUCCUGUCUGAAUAUGGGGGGACCAUCCUCCAAGGCUAAAUACUCCUGACUGACCGAUAGUGAACCAGUACCGUGAGGGAAAGGCGAAAAGAACCCCGGCGAGGGGAGUGAAAAAGAACCUGAAACCGUGUACGUACAAGCAGUGGGAGCACGCUUAGGCGUGUGACUGCGUACCUUUUGUAUAAUGGGUCAGCGACUUAUAUUCUGUAGCAAGGUUAACCGAAUAGGGGAGCCGAAGGGAAACCGAGUCUUAACUGGGCGUUAAGUUGCAGGGUAUAGACCCGAAACCCGGUGAUCUAGCCAUGGGCAGGUUGAAGGUUGGGUAACACUAACUGGAGGACCGAACCGACUAAUGUUGAAAAAUUAGCGGAUGACUUGUGGCUGGGGGUGAAAGGCCAAUCAAACCGGGAGAUAGCUGGUUCUCCCCGAAAGCUAUUUAGGUAGCGCCUCGUGAAUUCAUCUCCGGGGGUAGAGCACUGUUUCGGCAAGGGGGUCAUCCCGACUUACCAACCCGAUGCAAACUGCGAAUACCGGAGAAUGUUAUCACGGGAGACACACGGCGGGUGCUAACGUCCGUCGUGAAGAGGGAAACAACCCAGACCGCCAGCUAAGGUCCCAAAGUCAUGGUUAAGUGGGAAACGAUGUGGGAAGGCCCAGACAGCCAGGAUGUUGGCUUAGAAGCAGCCAUCAUUUAAAGAAAGCGUAAUAGCUCACUGGUCGAGUCGGCCUGCGCGGAAGAUGUAACGGGGCUAAACCAUGCACCGAAGCUGCGGCAGCGACGCUUAUGCGUUGUUGGGUAGGGGAGCGUUCUGUAAGCCUGCGAAGGUGUGCUGUGAGGCAUGCUGGAGGUAUCAGAAGUGCGAAUGCUGACAUAAGUAACGAUAAAGCGGGUGAAAAGCCCGCUCGCCGGAAGACCAAGGGUUCCUGUCCAACGUUAAUCGGGGCAGGGUGAGUCGACCCCUAAGGCGAGGCCGAAAGGCGUAGUCGAUGGGAAACAGGUUAAUAUUCCUGUACUUGGUGUUACUGCGAAGGGGGGACGGAGAAGGCUAUGUUGGCCGGGCGACGGUUGUCCCGGUUUAAGCGUGUAGGCUGGUUUUCCAGGCAAAUCCGGAAAAUCAAGGCUGAGGCGUGAUGACGAGGCACUACGGUGCUGAAGCAACAAAUGCCCUGCUUCCAGGAAAAGCCUCUAAGCAUCAGGUAACAUCAAAUCGUACCCCAAACCGACACAGGUGGUCAGGUAGAGAAUACCAAGGCGCUUGAGAGAACUCGGGUGAAGGAACUAGGCAAAAUGGUGCCGUAACUUCGGGAGAAGGCACGCUGAUAUGUAGGUGAAGUCCCUCGCGGAUGGAGCUGAAAUCAGUCGAAGAUACCAGCUGGCUGCAACUGUUUAUUAAAAACACAGCACUGUGCAAACACGAAAGUGGACGUAUACGGUGUGACGCCUGCCCGGUGCCGGAAGGUUAAUUGAUGGGGUUAGCGCAAGCGAAGCUCUUGAUCGAAGCCCCGGUAAACGGCGGCCGUAACUAUAACGGUCCUAAGGUAGCGAAAUUCCUUGUCGGGUAAGUUCCGACCUGCACGAAUGGCGUAAUGAUGGCCAGGCUGUCUCCACCCGAGACUCAGUGAAAUUGAACUCGCUGUGAAGAUGCAGUGUACCCGCGGCAAGACGGAAAGACCCCGUGAACCUUUACUAUAGCUUGACACUGAACAUUGAGCCUUGAUGUGUAGGAUAGGUGGGAGGCUUUGAAGUGUGGACGCCAGUCUGCAUGGAGCCGACCUUGAAAUACCACCCUUUAAUGUUUGAUGUUCUAACGUGGACCCGUAAUCCGGGUUGCGGACAGUGUCUGGUGGGUAGUUUGACUGGGGCGGUCUCCUCCUAAAGAGUAACGGAGGAGCACGAAGGUUGGCUAAUCCUGGUCGGACAUCAGGAGGUUAGUGCAAUGGCAUAAGCCAGCUUGACUGCGAGCGUGACGGCGCGAGCAGGUGCGAAAGCAGGUCAUAGUGAUCCGGUGGUUCUGAAUGGAAGGGCCAUCGCUCAACGGAUAAAAGGUACUCCGGGGAUAACAGGCUGAUACCGCCCAAGAGUUCAUAUCGACGGCGGUGUUUGGCACCUCGAUGUCGGCUCAUCACAUCCUGGGGCUGAAGUAGGUCCCAAGGGUAUGGCUGUUCGCCAUUUAAAGUGGUACGCGAGCUGGGUUUAGAACGUCGUGAGACAGUUCGGUCCCUAUCUGCCGUGGGCGCUGGAGAACUGAGGGGGGCUGCUCCUAGUACGAGAGGACCGGAGUGGACGCAUCACUGGUGUUCGGGUUGUCAUGCCAAUGGCACUGCCCGGUAGCUAAAUGCGGAAGAGAUAAGUGCUGAAAGCAUCUAAGCACGAAACUUGCC